This 210-nucleotide long non-coding RNA is filed under the name Vigna radiata. Its description in RNAcentral is "long non-coding RNA (VRAD_LNC002443)". The record is from RNAcentral. Lineage: Eukaryota; Viridiplantae; Streptophyta; Magnoliopsida; Fabales; Fabaceae.
CGAGAUUUGGUAAAUGCAGCUAAUGAGGAAAGUGGUGACGUGUGUUGUAGCGCGCGAGUAGAGAAGAUACGCUAACCCAGGUGCGUGAGGGUGACAAUCUUCCCAAAAAGAUAGGAACAAGGUUUCAGAAGCAAACUGAAGGAAAACAGGCAAAGAAGGACACGUCAGUGAUUGUAGCCAUGUUGUUGAUCUACACUUUAUACGACGUGG